CCUGCUACUUUAUAGGAGGUCCAGCCUGCCCAGUGAUAAAAUUAAACGGCCGCGGUACCCUAACCGUGCAAAGGUAGCGCAAUCACUUGUUCUUUAAAUGAGGACUAGUAUGAACGGCAUCACGAGGGUUACACUGUCUCCCCACUCUACUCAGUGAAACUGAUCCCCCCGUGAAGAAGCGGGGAUAAAUAUAUAAGACGAGAAGACCCCAUGGAGCUUAAAACUCAGUCUUACCUGCCAUCUAAAAAACCUAGAAACCACGCAGUACUAAUGACUAGUUUUCGGUUGGGGUGACCGCGGAGAAAAACAAAUCCUCCACGACGAAAGGACCUAUCCACCUAACCCAAGAGGUACACCUCUAAGAAUCAACACAUUGACCAACUGAUCCAAUUUUUUGAUCAACGGACCA
RNAcentral lists this ribosomal RNA (409 nucleotides) under Microhyla butleri. RNAcentral's name for it is "partial 16S ribosomal RNA". It matches the Rfam family "Bacterial large subunit ribosomal RNA", at positions 1834 to 2459 of the family's 2925-position model. Lineage: Eukaryota; Metazoa; Chordata; Amphibia; Anura; Microhylidae. The record is from RNAcentral.